RNAcentral lists this ribosomal RNA (507 nucleotides) under uncultured bacterium. RNAcentral's name for it is "bacterial SSU rRNA". It matches the Rfam family "Bacterial small subunit ribosomal RNA", at positions 29 to 507 of the family's 1533-position model. The record is from RNAcentral.
AAUGAACGCUGGCGGCGUGCCUAACACAUGCAAGUCGUACGAGAAAUCCCGAGCUUGCUUGGGAGAGUAAAGUGGCGCACGGGUGAGUAACGCGUGGGUAACCCACCUCCGAAUCUGGGAUAACUCCGCGAAAGCGGGGCUAAUACCGGAUAAGACCACAUUCCGUUCGCGGGAAGGGGUAAAAGCUGACCUAUCCAUGGAAGUUAGCGUUUGGAGACGGGCCCGCGGCCUAUCAGCUUGUUGGUGGGGUAAUGGCCUACCAAGGCAGCGACGGGUAGCUGGUCUGAGAGGAUGAUCAGCCACACUGGAACUGGAACACGGUCCAGACUCCUACGGGAGGCAGCAGUGAGGAAUUUUGCGCAAUGGGGGAAACCCUGACGCAGCAACGCCGCGUGGGUGAAGAAGGCUUUCGGGUCGUAAAGCCCUGUCAGGUGGGAAGAACCGUUUCGAUACUAAUAAUGUCGAAGCCUGACGGUACCACCAGAGGAAGCACCGGCCAACUCCGUG